Molecule: ribosomal RNA, 848 nt
Filed under: uncultured bacterium
Lineage: Bacteria
Description: bacterial SSU rRNA
Rfam family: Bacterial small subunit ribosomal RNA
Source: RNAcentral
GACGAACGCUGGCGGUGUGCUUAAUACAUGCAAGUCGAACGAUAAGGUCUCUUCGGAGAUACAUAAGUGGCGGACGGGUGAGUAACACGUAGGUAAUCUGCCUUAAGGUGGGGGACAACGUUGGGAAACUGACGCUAAUACCCCAUAUGUGGCGAGUUGAAAUACUCGUUAUGAAAGUUCCGGCGCCUUAAGAUGAGCCUGCGGCUGAUUAGUUAGUUGGUGAGGUAAUGGCUUACCAAGACUAUGAUCAGUAGCUGGUCUGAGAGGAUGAUCAGCCACAAUGGGACUGAGACACGGCCCAUACUCCUACGGGAGGCAGCAGUAGGGAAUUUUGCGCAAUGGGCGAAAGCCUGACGCAGCAACACCGCGUGAGUGAUGAAGCAUCUUGGUGUGUAAAACUCUGUCAGAGGGGACGAAUUUUGACGGUACCCUCAAAGGAAGCAUCGGCUAACUACGUGCCAGCAGCCGCGGUAAGACGUAGGAUGCAAGCGUUGUCCGGAAUUAUUGGGCGUAAAGAGUUCGUAGGCGGCAUGUAAAGUCUGGUGUUAAAGCCCGGAGCUCAACUCCGGUUAGGCAUUGGAUACUCACAAGCUAGAGUACAGAAGAGGCAAAGGGAAUUCCUAGUGUAGCGGUGAAAUGCGUAGAUAUUAGGAGGAACACCGGUGGCGUAAGCGCUUUGCUGGGCUGUAACUGACGCUGAGGAACGAAAGCCAGGGGAGCAAAUGGGAUUAGAUACCCCAGUAGUCCUGGCCGUAAACGAUGGAUACUAGGUGUUGCGGGUAUCGACCCCCGCAGUGCUGCAGCUAACGCAAUAAGUAUCCCGCCUGGGGAGUACGCACGCAAGUGUG